GACGAACGCUGGCGGCGUGCCUAAUACAUGCAAGUAGAACGCUGAAGAGAGGAGCUUACUCUUCUUGGAUGAGUUGCGAACGGGUGAGUAACGCGUAGGUAACCUGCCUUGUAGCGGGGGAUAACUAUUGGAAACGAUAGCUAAUACCGCAUAACAAUGGAUGACACAUGUCAUUUAUUUGAAAGGGGCAAUUGCUCCACUACAAGAUGGACCUGCGUUGUAUUAGCUAGUAGGUGAGGUAAUGGCUCACCUAGGCGACGAUACAUAGCCGACCUGAGAGGGCGAUCGGCCACACUGGGACUGAGACACGGCCCAGACUCCUACGGGAGGCAGCAGUAGGGAAUCUUCGGCAAUGGGGGCAACCCUGACCGAGCAACGCCGCGUGAGUGAAGAAGGUUUUCGGAUCGUAAAGCUCUGUUGUAAGUCAAGAACGGGUGUGAGAGUGGAAAGUUCACACUGUGACGGUAGCUUACCAGAAAGGGACGGCUAACUACGUG
Molecule: ribosomal RNA, 497 nt
Filed under: uncultured bacterium
Lineage: Bacteria
Description: partial 16S ribosomal RNA
Rfam family: Bacterial small subunit ribosomal RNA
Source: RNAcentral